Molecule: ribosomal RNA, 253 nt
Filed under: uncultured bacterium
Lineage: Bacteria
Description: partial 16S ribosomal RNA
Rfam family: Bacterial small subunit ribosomal RNA
Source: RNAcentral
UACGGAGGGUGCAAGCGUUAAUCGGAAUUACUGGGCGUAAAGGGUGCGUAGGUGGUUAAUUAAGUUAUCUGUAAAAUCCCCGGGCUCAACCUGGGCAGGUCAGAUAAUACUGGUUAACUCGAGUAUGGGAGAGGGUAGUGGAAUUUCCGGUGUAGCGGUGAAAUGCGUAGAGAUCGGAAGGAACACCAGUGGCGAAGGCGGCUACCUGGCCCAAUACUGACACUGAGGCACGAAAGCGUGGGGAGCAAACAGG